Molecule: ribosomal RNA, 253 nt
Filed under: uncultured bacterium
Lineage: Bacteria
Description: partial 16S ribosomal RNA
Rfam family: Bacterial small subunit ribosomal RNA
Source: RNAcentral
UACGUAGGGUGCGAGCGUUAAUCGGAAUUACUGGGCGUAAAGCGUGUGCAGGCGGCUUGCCAAGUCAGAUGUGAAAGCCCCGGGCUCAACCCGGGAACUGCGUUUGAAACUGGCAGGCUAGAGUUUGGCAGAGGGGGGUGGAAUUCCACGUGUAGCAGUGAAAUGCGUAGAGAUGUGGAGGAACACCGAUGGCGAAGGCAGGCCCCUGGGCCAAAACUGACGCUCAGACACGAAAGCGUGGGGAGCAAACAGG